CUCCUUUCCCGAAGCAGUGGCGUUGCCGCCAUCUUGGCACCUCAGAUUGAGGGAACGAGCCAAGCCCGGGCUUUUGAAGGGGGGUGUUAGGACAGGGAGUUCCUUCCGCGGUACACAGUGAGACCUGCCCAUCCCUCCUCCUCUCCCUGCUCCGGCUCGGGCUUCUGAGGCUUGCGGAGGCCGGCCGGAUUCCUGUCAGGCCCGGGGAGGAGGGGCGAGAGGGGCGGCCGCUGCCUCCCCGGGACGGGCGGUACCACCCGGGUGGGAAGGAGAGGGCCUGGUGACAACGGGGCGGUGCACCACCUGGGGGCGGG
This 314-nucleotide long non-coding RNA is filed under the name Marmota monax (woodchuck). The record is from RNAcentral. Lineage: Eukaryota; Metazoa; Chordata; Mammalia; Rodentia; Sciuridae.